CUACGGGGCGCUGCAGCUGAGGAAAUUUUACAAUGCACGAAAGUGUGAUAGAAUAAGCCAGAGUGAUUCUCUUAGAGAAUCUUUUGUCAACUGUAAAAAGGUUGACGAAUAAGGACUGGGCAAGACCGGUGCCAGCCGCCGCGGUAAUACCGGCGGUCCAAGUAGUAUCCACAUUUAUUGGGUCUAAAACAUUCGUAGCUUGUUUUGUCAGUCUCUUGUGAAAUCUCAUGUCUUAAGCAUGAGGCGUGCAAGAGAUACUGCAUUACUAGAGACCGGAAGAUGCAAAGAGUAUGGUUGAGGUAACGGUAAAUUGUGUUAAUCUCAAUUAGACUAACAAUGGCGAAGGCACUUUGCAAGUACGGAUCUGACAGUGAGGGAUGAAGGCCAGGGUCGCGAAAGGGAUUAGAUACCCGUGUAGUC
This 420-nucleotide ribosomal RNA is filed under the name uncultured archaeon. RNAcentral describes it as "partial 16S ribosomal RNA". It matches the Rfam family "Archaeal small subunit ribosomal RNA", at positions 323 to 746 of the family's 1478-position model. The record is from RNAcentral.